Molecule: small nucleolar RNA, 107 nt
Organism: Hibiscus syriacus
Lineage: Eukaryota; Viridiplantae; Streptophyta; Magnoliopsida; Malvales; Malvaceae
Source: RefSeq, a predicted model, not a curated record
AAUCCAUACAUUGGACAUUUUCGCAACAAAUCCUUAACUCUUUCUCAUGCCUCGUAUAAGCUUUCAUCUUCCAUCUACUUGAAUGAAGUAAGGUCAUUUCAGAUUUU